This 301-nucleotide ribosomal RNA is filed under the name uncultured bacterium. RNAcentral describes it as "partial 16S ribosomal RNA". It matches the Rfam family "Bacterial small subunit ribosomal RNA", at positions 509 to 807 of the family's 1533-position model. The record is from RNAcentral.
CAGUAGCCGCGGUAAUACGGAGGGUGCAAGCGUUAAUCGGAAUUACUGGGCGUAAAGCGCACGCAGGCGGUCUGACAAGUCAGAUGUGAAAUCCCCGGGCUUAACCUGGGAACUGCAUUUGAAACUGUCAGGCUGGAGUCUUGUAGAGGGGGGUGGAAUUCCAGGUGUAGCGGUGAAAUGCGUAGAGAUCUGGAGGAAUACCGGUGGCGAAGGCGGCCCCCUGGACAAAGACUGACGCUCAGGUGCGAAAGCGUGGGGAGCAAACAGGAUUAGAUACCCGGGUAGUCUCUGUCUCUUAUAC